UGGUACCCGGGUAGGUAAUGGGCACAAAGUCUUAGGAACCGUUACCCACCGGAUCCAAUUUUUUUGCCGAGAAGACCUACCCAUUCACCCAAAUACCUACCCAUUGGACACGGGGCCGAGCCCUAACGCCCACCACUUCAUUAUUCGGCGAAAACCACAAUUUUCAUAAAAUGUGGCAGUGGUGUCCCCUCUCCCCUUCUCUCUAUCUUAGGUUGUCUGCUAUGUGCUGUCAAUAUUUAUUAAUUUUAUAAUUUAUACUCUGUCGAUUCUCAGGCGCGUUUUGGCGUCUACCUGGUUGAUCAGGAAUGAGGUUGAGUUGCGAUCAACCGCAUUUUUGUGUCAACCUGGUUGAACUGAACCAAUGUUUUGGCGACAACUGAUAUUUCCCCCCUUGGUUGAGGUUCAACUUCAACCGCCAGUCUAUAUGGCCGAGUUCUACCAUGGUCCUAGAGCAUGGUAGAACCAGAACCGAAGCAGACGACCCAACCCCUUUUUCUUUGCCGAAUACAAUUGUUAUAUGGCAACAAAGCAUUCACGAAUAAUUUCAAAAAACUAGCAGACGUUAUUAUUAUUAUUUUUUCAUUUUCCCUAGUCCACAUUUUUUCUUGAAGACUGGCGGAAAAAAAUAGAAGGGGUAAAAUUAGAAACAAGAAAAUAAAAUAAUUAACAAAACUUUCGAACCUGAUGCAGUAAUCAGUUGGGCACACUGAAUCGAGAAUCGAUAGCGUAUAAAUUAUAAAAAUAAUAAAUAUUGACAGCACAUAGUAGACAACCUAAGAUAGAGAGAAGGGGAGAGGGGACACCGCUGCCACAUUUUAUGAAAAUUGUGGUUUUGCCGAAUAAUGAAGUGGUGGGCGUGACUAGGGAUCGGCCCCGACCCUAAUCGGGGUGCAUUUUGCCCAUCGGGCUUCGAAAUUCGGGGCCCAGGGCGGGGCGUUCAGGGCUCAGGGUGAAAAUUUUUGAACCCCGAUCUCAAUCGGGGUUUUAUCAGGGUGCCUAAUCGGUGCUGCAACCCCGAUUGCAAUCAAUCGAUCGAGUCGAAAUCGAUUAUUAUGAUGAAAAUAGGGGAGUUCAACCCGGUUUCCCCGAUGAAAACCCGACCCAAAUUCGUAGUUUAAAUUCAGGCGCCAUUUUUGCAAAUGGCGUCGGGCAAGCGGGUUAACCUCCAUUUUCGCCCCGCCCCGCCCUGGCUGACGAAAUUGAGCCCCGAUUCAGCCCCGAUUGUCUUUUCCCGGGGUUGGGCGGUUAACCCGAUUAUGUCUAAUCGGGGCCGAUCCCUAGGUGUGACUUCGGCUCAACUUUCAUUUUGGUGUCAACUGAAAUGUAAACUUGGUUAGUCCGACUUCGACCAACCGAGUUGAUCUAAAAUCCAUUUUGGUGUCAACCUUAUGGUUGAGUUCAACUCAACCAGGUAGACGCCAAAACGCGCCUUCGAUUCAGUGUGCCCAACUGAUUACUGCAUAAGGUUCGAAAGUUUUGUUAAUUCUUUUAUUUUCUUGUUCCUAAUUUUACCCCUUCUAUUUUUUUCCGCCAGUCUUCAAGAAAAAUUGUGGACAAGGGAAAAUGAAAAAAAAAAUAAUAAUAAUGACGUCUGCUAGUUUUUUUUUAUUAUUCGUGAAUGCUUUGUUGCCAUAUAACAAUUGUAUUCGGCAAAGAAAAAGGGGUUGGGUCGUCUGCUUCGGUUCUGGUUCUACCGUGCUCUAGGACCAUGGUAGAACUCGGCCAUAUAGACUGGCGGUUGAAGUUGAACCUCAACCAAGGGGGGAAAUAUCAGUUGUCGCCAAAACAUUGGUUCAGUUCAACCAGGUUGACACAAAAAUGCGGUUGAUCGCAACUCAACCUCAUUCCUGAUCAACCAGGUAGACGCCAAAACGCGCCUAUGGUUGGUUUUGCAGAACUUUUUGCAAGGCUACACAGCGGCUACUACCAUAACGACUUGCGCCAUCUCUCCUCCCAAUUUCAAACGUUUUUUUGUUUUGAAGUUUUGUUUGGGUAGCUUGACAAGCCAGUGUGGCUGUGGCUACUGGCUAGCCCGUGAAAUUUGUGUUUUUGAAAUGAUAACGAGGCAGGUAAAGGUGUUUUAAUCAACAGAACCCCAUUAAGUUUUAACUACGGGAAUUUUGGAUGUCGAAGGGAAAAAGUCUCAAGAACUGCUACUUCGAAGUCAGGUAUCAAUAACGUUUUGGCCGACAUAAGAAGAAAGCUUUUUAACUCUUGGAGGGAUGGUAGUACACAGGCCUUCCUGUUCUACACCAAACCUACUCGAAAAAGACAAGCAAACAAUUUCUGGUUUAUUGGGCCAGAUGCUGAAAAGUUUUGAGACAGUUCUGACGGGAAUGAUGGAAAUGGUGGUGGUCUCCAGAAUAAUAUCGAGAGUCUAUUCAACAGCUGAAAAUCCAAGGCAAUCCAUGAUAAAAAAAGUAUGGAAGUGACCGAUGAGAGUCUCAUCACGAUAUAAUAGGAAAGGAUACUGUACCAACAUGGUCUCCGUGGUGGACUCCGACCCUUCGGUGGGAUCGCGUGCCAAGUUUUGCCCUACUUGACGAGUGUCGCCGCCGAACGGUCGGUGCCGCCGAAUGGUCGGUGUCGCCGCCGAACGGUCGGUGCCGCCGAAUGGUCGGUGUCGCCGCCGAACGGUAUUCGGUUGUCACAAUAUUCAAAAAUAUUUUGUGUAUUUAUGAAUAAUACAUAUUUUUGCACAUGUGCCUUU
Molecule: long non-coding RNA, 2710 nt
Organism: Daphnia magna
Lineage: Eukaryota; Metazoa; Arthropoda; Branchiopoda; Diplostraca; Daphniidae
Exons: 4
Source: RefSeq, a predicted model, not a curated record